UUGCAGAGCAUUCUUGCUAUUUUUGAUUUCUGAGUUCUACACGAAUUCGAUUCAGGAACAUGGCGGAUCGAGACCGAGAUUGGGAUUUUCAUCUCAGAACAUUAUCCAACAUUGCCAGAGAUUCUAAUGUCGCCAACGAUCCCGCCUCCGAUCCUAAUGUUCUUCUAUCAGUUAGAAGGCUAUAUGAAUUGUGCAAAGCUGAGAAUUCUGAGGAUUUGGUGGCUCGGGUUUAUCCUCAGUUUAACAAGAUUUUUCAGCGUUCGGUGUCGUCCUUGUCUCAAUCUAGAACUUCUAAUGGCCUCCUCUUACUGGCCAUUCUUCAAUUUUUCAUUGAUUUUGGUGAAGUAGUCUUACAUGAUGCUGAUUCCAGUCUGAAGACCUUUUUCCGUUCAUGUCUGAGUCGUGAGUUUGCAGAUCCAAUUGUUGCAGAAGCAGUUCUAGAAUUUCUGAAUACAAAUCAGAAUAAGUUUCUUACUUCUUUUCCUACAUUAUUGCCACAGUUCUAUCCAUUGUUGCUAAAGCUGAUUGCUUGGAAUGGAGAAAAGUUAGAGAAACCAUUUCUUAGAAUCUUUCCAGCAUUGAUUUCUCCUGGGUCUUUCCUUCCAAUGUUUCCAUCUGUCAUUGAUUUCCCUAUUUUGGUAGUCGCAUUGGAAAGGGUAGAGCGCAGCUCAGGAUCACUAGUGGGAAAUAACAUAGCUUCAAUCCAGAAGAGUAAAGUUCCUGAGAUGUUACUUGCACUCAUGGAUGAGGCUUACACUGGUUCAACCAUUGGGGAUGGAGGAGGAGACUCUGGAACCGAGGCUAGUAGCACAAUAGAUGUUGCCGAUCCUCUCUUCCUCGAACUUUUGAAGGAUGAAAAUGAUGGUCUUUCGGAACGACAUUGGAAUUCUCCUGGGAUGACUGCAGUAAUUCAGAUUGCAAUAAAUACUGCUCAAUCUGAUAGGCUGAAACAAAUGCUGAACGUGACACCUCGGAUUCUUGAUGUCUACUUCUCUGUGGCACUGCAAGAUGUCAACAAUUCUUUAAUCUGUGCAUUGAUUCCUCUGCUUAUGUCAAGAAACUCAACAUUGUUACCUGACAAAGCUUUCUCCUAUAAGGUUCGUAAGAGGCUCCUAGAAUUUAUGCUUGCUGCAUUUCAGCGGUCUCCGGAUUUCAUUGCACUUCUCAAGAAGCCUAUAAUCAAUCGACUUGGUGAAGCAUAUGACAACCCUGCAAAGACAGAACUAGCACUGAAAUUGUGUUGGGCCAUUGGAGAACACGGUGGCGGUGGCAGAUCUCACAAAGAUGCAGCCCGUGAACUUUUCGAGAGCUUAGAGUUGCUUUUAUACGAAAAUCUUUUAUCGAGUCGUUUAGGUUUGAGACAGGACUCGGGUGAUAAUUCCAGUGGUGAAAGCUUCAGAAAGUCAUCGCAGUCAAGGCUUCUUUGUUUUGUUAUUACUGCAAUUGCAAAACUUGCAACAUACCACCGUGAAUUACUACCGAGAGCACGGGUCUCAUUGGGAAAGGUAGCUCGAUCUCGAACCUCAGAUGCGAGAGUCUGGACUCGAGCUCACGACUAUCUAGGACUAUUGAGUGACACUGGAAUUUCGUUAUCCAUUUUGGGGCCUUCGAAACCUGCCAGUAAAGAAGCACAUAACCCAGGCACUGUCAACUGGAGUCAAGGUGGAACUAAGAUGGUUGCGCACAUUCCAUUUUACAUUCUCCACGAACAAGGUCCUCCUUUCCAUGAUUUCUCAUUUUCAGAUAUUCUUCCAAGGAGAUGAUGAACAUGAACUCAUCCAGCUUUGCUCGUCUCAAUGUCGUCAACGUUGCCGUUGAGAAAUUGAGGUUAUCUGGAAGGACAACAAAACCAGAAGACAAGAUAGCCACAUUAUCUGGGUUUCCUCCACGUAAGAGUAUCGACAUGGCAAAGAGAUCAACAGGUGCAUAGACUAUAUAAGAUCCCGUUGCGUCGAAGUAACUCUCUUGCAGGUAGAAGAUCUCGACUUUUCUCGGCGAAGACUACAAAUAUGGUAACUUUUCAAGUUAAAUUUUGAAGAGUUAAAGUGUUGCUGUGUAGGAAAAAAAAAAAA
Non-coding RNA from Cucurbita pepo subsp. pepo (vegetable marrow), 2072 nucleotides. Lineage: Eukaryota; Viridiplantae; Streptophyta; Magnoliopsida; Cucurbitales; Cucurbitaceae. The record is from RefSeq and is a predicted model, not a curated record.